AGAGUAUUUUUAAGUUAGCAUAUAUGGAUAAAUAUUAAAAGUAUCCGCAGCGAUAUGCAAUUUUGAAGUUAAAAUGGAAGGAAGGAACUCGGCAAAUCUUAGCUUCGCCUGUUUAUCAAAAACAUGGCUCUCUGUUACUUUAAUAUAGGGAGUCGGACCUGCCCAGUGAAAUUUUUUAACGGCCGCGGUACCCUGACCGUGCAAAGGUAGCAUAAUCAUUUGCCUUAUAAUUGAAGGCUUGUAUGAAUGGUUUGACGGGAGCAUUGCUGUCUCCCUCCCAGUAGAUAGAACUUGACCUUUAGGUGAAGAGGCCUAAAUAUAAUUGAAAGACAAGAAGACCCUGUCGAGCUUUAAAAUUAGAUUAGAGGGAAAUAUAAAAUAGCCUAAAUUUAUAGCUAAUUGGUUUUUUGGUUGGGGCGACCGAGGAACAGCAAGAGCUUCCUUUAUCUAAGCUGACUUAUAGGUAUUGAUCCAGCCUAAAGCUGAUUAAAAAAAUUAGUUACCGCAGGGAUAACAGCAUAAUCUCUCUUAAGAGACCAAAUCGAAAGAGGGGGUUGUGACCUCGAUGUUGGACUAGAAUAUCCUGAAGAUGCAAA
This 596-nucleotide ribosomal RNA is filed under the name Sulcospira paludiformis. Its description in RNAcentral is "partial large subunit ribosomal RNA". It matches the Rfam family "Bacterial large subunit ribosomal RNA", at positions 1275 to 2559 of the family's 2925-position model. Lineage: Eukaryota; Metazoa; Mollusca; Gastropoda; Pachychilidae. The record is from RNAcentral.